Molecule: long non-coding RNA, 1795 nt
Organism: Hippoglossus stenolepis (Pacific halibut)
Lineage: Eukaryota; Metazoa; Chordata; Actinopteri; Pleuronectiformes; Pleuronectidae
Exons: 3
Source: RefSeq, a predicted model, not a curated record
CCCUCCCUCUUUCUGUGGACGGUCUGUAACCGAAGCAGUUCCUCAAAAGGAGAAAGAAAACCCUGUCACUUCUGAUCAGACAAAUCGAACAGCAGAGGAGUUGAGGCAUAACUUUCACCACAACGUGGAUUCAGCUUCAGAACUUCAUUAAGCAGAGAGCUUUGGCAGAGGCAGCGGACAACAUGGAGGUAAAAGAAGCAGCCUCAGUGAAACCCAUCGAUCAGUCCCCCUCUCUGUGUGCUGGUGAGCAGGACUUUGUUGACAGGAGGAAAAGGGUCGUUCUGGAGUCACUCAACAGCCUGGGAAUCAACUGUUCUGCAGUAAGAAAGAAACUGCUCACACACUAACACCAUUUCUGUCCGUCCGUGUCAGCCUGGCAAGCACCCGUCAGGAAGGUGCAUGUAAGGUAGUCACUCUGCUGGUUGGUGGAGUAAAGGAGUUAGGAGGAAGUUUAUGCUUCUUAGUUGUUCCGCUUUGUACCUGUUGUUGCGUUUUGCUGUUUGUCAUGCCUGAGUGAGUUGUACCUUUGUGCAUUGUCUCUUACUUUAUGCCCUCACGCCACGUCAAAUAUCAUUUCGCCUGUUUUUAUGUAACACACACAUGUCCUCCAUGACUUUGUAUGAUCACUAUUUUUAGGUCUUACAGUAACGUUUGAGCAGACUUUAGACACUCACAGGAACAGAGUACUGCUGAAGCUGUAUGGUUGUAAGGUAAUUAAUACAGUGGUAAGUUAAAAAUGCAUUCAAAGAGGCGCUGCUUGUUUACAGUGAUCCGUUGUGAAUUCAUAGUCCACUGCCUGCUCUGCACCACACACAGACAGAGUUAAGCUGCUUUCAGACAUGCACUGAACUCCAGAGAUCCUGUGGACUUUCUCCACCUUGCCCCCUAAUCUAAAGUCUGCAGAAAGUUCAAAGGAGCCGAUGUAAGAACACAGCAGGAUUCACUGUGAGUGAAUGAUUUUAUAGACCCGACAGAAAACAAGUACACACCAGCGAAAAUGUCAAGGGAGUUUUUGGGCGAUAUGAGCUGACACUGGUGUCGUUGUGUUGUAAACAUGAAAACGUUACAUCCUAUCUCUGCCUGCUGCACCUACCCUCACCUGAACUCUCUGCAGAUUUCCGUGCAGUUGCGAACAUGUUUGAGCAGAGAAACUCCUGCUGGGUUGUUCAGCCUGUUCUGCUUUAGAGAGCAACAGAAGAACAUAGUUGAAAAUUCAGCAGCUGUAAAGACACAUUAUUCAACAGCCUUGCACGGCCACAAUUUUCUCUCAGGAUUUCUUUACAUAACUCAGUCGGACGGACUUAGCUUUUUUGCCUAUUAGGCUCCAGGUUAUUUGUUAUUUCAGAUAAUGCCAUUAUACAACAUGUAUCAUAGUGUGUAGACUAAUAUAUAUACAGUGUAUAUAUAUAUAGAUAUGAAUACAUAUAUAACAUAACAUACAUAUGUGUGUGAGUGCAUGUUUAUGUUAUAAUAGUAAGUAUUUUUCUGAAGAUAUCAUUUAAAAUUUUGCCCUGUUUUUUCUGUUCUUGUUUUUGUUGAUUGGCAUGUCAAAUAAUAUUUGUUUCAUGUAAUUUAGCAAUUUGCUAUAAAGGGUAUAAUGAGGGAAAAUAGCAUGAACAUCCCAACAACCACCGAAAAUUCUAAAUACAGCAAUCCUUUCACUUCCACAUCUCAUUUGAUAUGGAAGGAUGUUUGCAUUGCAAUAUUACAAAUUCUGGGAUCAUAUCUGAAGGAAUUUAGAGUUUAAAUAGCACUAAGAAACCCAGAAGCCAACAGUAACCUCAUAAAUAUCCCA